AUUUUCUCCCCCAUUAUCUUAUAGUUUAAUCCAUGGCCAAUUACCUGUUUUAUAUCAUUCCACUAAUAACGGGAUUUACUGCUUUUCUAUCUUGAUUUCGUCUUUUCUGCGAAUUAAGGGGUGAAUUAGCUUGGGAUGUAUUAGACUUCUUGACCGGGGAUUUCUGCUAGGGAUUUGAUUAUUUUUAUUGACUUUCGAGAUUCAUGCUUUGUGCUAGGCUGUUUUGGAUUUUACCGAUUUGCCGGGUAGAUGCCUUGGAGCGAAUUUCUAUUGAGAGUUUAGGUUUGAUACCUGGAUUUGAUUAGUUUCAAGUCAUUUGGUUUUUGAAAAGAAAUUAGCACUUUCUUAGCUACUUUAAUUGAGGGUGGGUUGAGGCCAUCUCCAUUCCUCUUUUGCAUCCCGCUUUGAAUCUGAUGAUGAAGUUUAAGUUUCGUACAUACAUUAAACCCCCUUCAAAACUACACUUAGUUUGAAAAUUGCCCAACGAAAGAGUUCUUCUUUAAUACAAUUAGAAGAUUACAUACUUGCAUAAUAACAUUUUUCAUUCAUAAGAACUAUUCUUAAGAACAAUGAACCACUCCAUAAUUUCAGACUGACAUAGUAUUGUCCACUUUUGAAUAUAAACUUUCAUGACUUUGCUUUUGACUUCACUAAAAUUAUCUCAUAGCAUUGGAGAUAAUUGUCCCAUUUAUACACGUUAUCUUCAAACGGAGGACCACUGAGCCUUUCUUCAAGCACACCACAUGUCUUAUAUAGCUGAAUCACUGAUCUUCACGUAACUAUGUCAUUGAGGCUCAUCACUAUCCACAUGUUUAGAUUCGAAGGAUUUAAUCGACAUGCUUAAGUUUGGGGUAUGCCUUUCUCACCAUUUGUUAAGGAUGAUCAUGCCAAUGGAAAUAGUUAUUCUUACCUAUAUACCUACAAUCUUCUUCUUAUCUUGGGACUUUAGUUGUCCUCACAACCAAAACGUUGUCAAAAUUAGUAUUAUCUCUUCAUGUAACAACCCAAGCCCACCGCUAGUAGAUAUUAUCAGCUUUGGCUUGUUUAUCGCCAUUAACCUCAGGGUUUUAAAAUGUGUCUAUUGGGGAGAGUUUUCCAUACCCUUAUAAAUAAUGUUUCGUUCCCCUCUCCAACGGAUGUGGGAUCUCACAAUCCACCCCCUUUGGUGGCCCAUCAUCUUGGUUGGCACAUUGGCCGGUGCCUGGCUAUGAUAUUGUGAGGACACACUGCGUGUCCGUUUUUGCCUGUUACGUAUCGAUGUCAGCCUCACGUUACCUCUAUAGGUAGAAGUUUUCACACUUUUAUAAAGAAUGUUUCGUUUUCCUCUCCAACCGAUGUGGGAUUUCACACGACACAAAAUGGGGUAACUUAACUAGUUGGUUUUUUCUUUUUUUUGGUAAGAAAUUGAGCUUUCUUUGAGAAAAUGAGAGAAUACAUAGGCAUACAAAAAACGAGCCUAAACAAAUUUUUAAAAAUGUCUCCAAUCCAAAAGAACAAGGCCAAGAUCAGGCAUAGUGACCGAAACCUAAAAGAAGGCUUUAAAUCUAACCACCUCACCCGCUCUCAACUCCUCACAAUUUCUGUUGUGUUUUUUUCUAACCAAAUAUCCCACAAAAGAGCAAAGAAGCUAGUUUGCCACAAGACUUUACCUCUUUCCUUAAUAGAGGAUUCAAAAGCACCUCCUCAACAACAAGCAACCAUCCUGUCCCUGAGCACCACGCACACCAAACAAGGAUUUCCAACGAUCCCAAAGAAACUGAGCAAAUUGGAAGUUAAAUAUUCAAAUUGAUUCAUUUAGUUUAGAAUAGGUGAUAAAAGUAAAAUUUCCCCUAAUUAUUUGAUUGUUGCAAGAAAUGGUUAUUGAGGACUUGAUAGGUGGACAAAGCUCUCAGGUAGAUGUCUUAUGUGCUUCUAUUUAACAUCAGAGAAUCUUUGAUAUUAUGUUACAAAUGCACCCGUUUUGUUUUCAAGGUAUGUGAAAUAUAACUUGAUUUGUUUAGGAUUAAUAGCCGUAACCAAGAACAUCAGUCUACAUUAUUUG
This is a long non-coding RNA of Cucurbita moschata (crookneck pumpkin), 2041 nucleotides long. RefSeq lists it as uncharacterized. The record is from RefSeq and is a predicted model, not a curated record. Lineage: Eukaryota; Viridiplantae; Streptophyta; Magnoliopsida; Cucurbitales; Cucurbitaceae. The transcript is spliced from 2 exons.